This 461-nucleotide ribosomal RNA is filed under the name uncultured bacterium. RNAcentral's name for it is "partial 16S ribosomal RNA". It matches the Rfam family "Bacterial small subunit ribosomal RNA", at positions 338 to 795 of the family's 1533-position model. The record is from RNAcentral.
CCUACGGGAGGCAGCAGUGAGGAAUAUUGGUCAAUGGGCUUACGCCUGAACCAGCCAAGUCGCGUGAGGGAAGACUGCCCUAUGGGUUGUAAACCUCUUUUGUCAGGGAGCAAUUGGCGCUACGUGUAGCGUUAUCGAGAGUACCUGAAGAAAAAGCAUCGGCUAACUCCGUGCCAGCAGCCGCGGUAAUACGGAGGAUGCGAGCGUUAUCCGGAUUUACUGGGUGUAAAGGGAGCGUAGACGGCAGCGCAAGUCUGGAGUGAAAUCCCAUGGCUUAACCAUGGAACUGCUUUGGAAACUGUGCAGCUGGAGUGCAGGAGAGGUAAGCGGAAUUCCUAGUGUAGCGGUGAAAUGCGUAGAUAUUAGGAGGAACACCAGUGGCGAAGGCGGCUUACUGGACUGUAACUGACGUUGAGGCUCGAAAGCGUGGGGAGCAAACAGGAUUAGAUACCCGGGUAGUC